Molecule: non-coding RNA, 103 nt
Organism: Paramuricea clavata
Lineage: Eukaryota; Metazoa; Cnidaria; Anthozoa; Malacalcyonacea; Plexauridae
Source: the annotation of a GenBank genome assembly
AGCUAACCGCCUCGCGAGGUAGCCUGCGUGCAGUCCCAGUUCCUUUGGAGUCUGGGACUGCACGCAGGCUACUCGCGAGGCGGUUAGCUCAGCAAGUUGCUCU